UUGCUACCUGUUCUACCUGUUAAUCCAACCCUCUACCUGUUAAUCCAACCCUCUACCUGUUCUACCUGUUAAUCCAACCCUCUACCUGUUAAUCCAACCCUCUACCUGUUAAACCAACCCUCUACCUGUUAAUCCAACCCUCUACCUGUUAAUCCAACCCUCUACCUGUUAAUCCAACCCUCUACCUGUUAAUCCAACCCUCUACCUGUUAAUCUAACCCUCUACCUGUUAAUCCAACCCUCUACCUGUUAAACCAACCCUCGCCCUGUUAAUCCAACCCUCUACCUGUUAAUCCAACCCUCUACCUGUUAAUCCAACCCUCUACCUGUUAAUCCAACCCUCUACCUGUUAAUCCAACCCUCUACCUGUUAAUCCAACCCUCUACCUGUUAAUCCAACCCUCUACCUGUUAAUCCAACCCUCUACCUGUUCUACCUGAUAAUCCAACCCUCUCUCUGUGACUCCUCCUCUGCCCCCCCCCCCCCCCCCCCCCCCCCCCCCCCCAGCGCCCGUCAGCUGUGAGGUCCUGAAGACCUAUCUGAUGAGCGUCCCGUACGUGUCCGACUGCCUGGGCAACCUCGGCGCCUUCCUCAAAGAGAACGGUGUCUCCCCCACCAAGGUGGGCUCCGCGCCCGCCCAGCUGCUGUCCGACGUCACCAAGCGCCUGCCCUCCCUGCCCCCCGAGCUGCGCCAGGAGCUCUCCAGGAUCCGACUCACCCAGGUGCCCCGCAACAUCAUCGAGACCCUCACGGAGCUCGUCCCCGCCCGCUCCGAGGGCUCCGGCGGCCUGGCGCGCUACCUCGGCCUGACGGCGGCGUCGGUGCCGUCCGUGUCGGGACUGUCCCAGAGCCUCGCCGCCGUCCCCCAGAAGGUGGCGGCCAUCCCCGCGCGGGCGCAGCAGUACUACAACAACGUCCAGAGUCGCCUCAACAGCCUCAUGCCACAAGAUGCCUAAGAAACAGAACCAGCAGCAGCAGCAGCAGCAGAAGAAGAACCCCCUCAUUAGCGACCAGGACCAGGACCUAGAGCUCAACCGGCUAGUGAGACCGACCCCCCUGCCCCCGCCCCUGCGCUCCCGCUCCCCCUCCCCGUCCCCCGUCUCCCCCGGCGGGAGCGCCCUGGACCUGCCCAACGUGCCUUCCUACCCCCGCCUGCCCCCCAUAGCGAGCCCCCCGUGCCAGCAGACCGGAACCCUCCCCCGCCAGCUGUCCGGCGUCUCGAACCCGGCCUUCUGCAUCGACGACGAGCGCGAAGCCCCGGCCAGACACCCGGGGAGCUCCAGACUAAGCCUCCGUCCAGAGGUCAACGUCGAGGAUGUGGACUCGGACCAGGAGAGAGGAGCAGGGUGGGGGGGAGGAGGGCGUGGCCCCCGGAGCCCUCCCCAGAUAGUCCUGACCCCCCAGGACUCCAAGCUGAAGACCCUCGCGGUCCCCGUCACCCCUAAAGGAGGCCGCCAGAGGUGAGAGGUGGGGGGGAGACGUUGGGAGAGCUCUGGGAGGGGUUCGGACAGACUGAAGCAGGCUUU
RNAcentral lists this long non-coding RNA (1524 nucleotides) under Gadus morhua (Atlantic cod). Its description in RNAcentral is "lncRNA (ENSGMOG00000023230.1)". The record is from RNAcentral. Lineage: Eukaryota; Metazoa; Chordata; Actinopteri; Gadiformes; Gadidae.